GACGAACGCUGGCGGCGUGCUUAACACAUGCAAGUCGAACGGAAAGGCCCUGCUUUUGUGGGGUGCUCGAGUGGCGAACGGGUGAGUAACACGUGAGUAACCUGCCCUUGACUUUGGGAUAACUUCAGGAAACUGGGGCUAAUACCGGAUAGGAGCUCCUGCUGCAUGGUGGGGGUUGGAAAGUUUCGGCGGUUGGGGAUGGACUCGCGGCUUAUCAGCUGGUUGGUGGGGUAGUGGCUUACCAAGGCUUUGACGGGUAGCCGGCCUGAGAGGGUGACCGGCCACAUUGGGACUGAGAUACGGCCCAGACUCCUCCGGGAGGCAGCAGUGGGGAAUAUUGAACAAUGGGCGGAAGCCUGAUGCAGCAACGCCGCGUGCGGGAUGACGGCCUUCGGGUUGUAAACCGCUUUCGCAUGUGACGAAGCGUGAGUGACGGUAAUGGGUAAAGAAGCACCGGCUAACUACGUG
RNAcentral lists this ribosomal RNA (468 nucleotides) under uncultured bacterium. RNAcentral describes it as "partial 16S ribosomal RNA". It matches the Rfam family "Bacterial small subunit ribosomal RNA", at positions 28 to 507 of the family's 1533-position model. The record is from RNAcentral.